CAUGCAAGUCGAACGGUAACAGGUCUUCGGAUGCUGACGAGUGGCGCACGGGUGAGUAACGCGUGGAUAUCUGCCUAUUAGUGGGGGACAACUUGUGGAAACGCAAGCUAAUACCGCAUAAUCCCUACGGGGGAAAGCAGGGGACCUUCGGGCCUUGUGCUGAUAGAUGAGUCCGCGUCUGAUUAGCUAGUUGGUAGGGUAAAGGCCUACCAAGGCGAUGAUCAGUAUCUGGUUUGAGAGGAUGAUCAGACACACUGGAACUGAGACACGGUCCAGACUUCUACGGAAGGCAGCAGUGGGGAAUAUUGCACAAUGGGCGCAAGCCUGAUGCAGCGACGCCGCGUGUGGGAAGAAGGCUUUAGGGUUGUAAACCACUUUCAAUUGGGAAGAAGAGAUGAGAGUUAAUAACUUUCUGAUUUGACGGUACCUUUAGAAGAAGCACCGGCUAAUUUCGUGCCAGCAGCCGCGGUAAUACGAAAGGUGCAAGCGUUGUUCGGAUUUACUGGGCGUAAAGAGAGUGUAGGUUGUUUAUUAAGUCGGAUGUGAAAUCCCGGGGCUCAACCUCGGAACUGCAUUCGAUACUGGUAGACUAGAGUUCGGGAGGGGUAAGCGGAAUUCCGUGUGUAGCAGUGAAAUGCGUAGAUAUACGGAGGAACACCUGAGGCGAAGGCGGCUUACUGGACCGAUACUGACACUGAGACUCGAAAGCGUGGGUAGCAAACAGGAUUAGAUACCCUGGUAGUCCACGCCCUAAACGAUGUCAACUAGCCGUUGCGGGUAUCGACCCCUGCAGUGGCGAAGCUAACGCGAUAAGUUGACCGCCUGGGGAGUAC
RNAcentral lists this ribosomal RNA (833 nucleotides) under uncultured bacterium. RNAcentral describes it as "bacterial SSU rRNA". It matches the Rfam family "Bacterial small subunit ribosomal RNA", at positions 54 to 883 of the family's 1533-position model. The record is from RNAcentral.